GGACUACUCGGGUAUCUAAUCCUGUUUGCUCCCCACGCUUUCGCGCCUCAGCGUCAGUUACGGUCCAGAGAGCCGCCUUCGCCACCGGUGUUCUUCCCAAUAUCUACGAAUUUCACCUCUACACUGGGAAUUCCACUCUCCUCUCCCGUACUCAAGCACCAGAGUAUCAAGCGCACCUCCCAGGUUGAGCCCGGGGCUUUCACGCCUGACUUCUCGCGCCGCCUGCGCGCCCUUUACGCCCAGUAAUUCCGAACAACGCUCGCCCCCUUCGUAUUACCGCGGCGGCUGGCAC
This 292-nucleotide ribosomal RNA is filed under the name uncultured Alphaproteobacteria bacterium. Its description in RNAcentral is "partial 16S ribosomal RNA". Lineage: Bacteria; Pseudomonadati; Pseudomonadota; Alphaproteobacteria. The record is from RNAcentral.